This is a long non-coding RNA of Rhipicephalus sanguineus (brown dog tick), 494 nucleotides long. RefSeq lists it as uncharacterized. NCBI's taxonomy places the organism in Eukaryota, Metazoa, Arthropoda, Arachnida, Ixodida, Ixodidae. The record is from RefSeq and is a predicted model, not a curated record. The transcript is spliced from 2 exons.
AUCCCUCCGCGCCGCACUUCCUUCUUCAGAAUUGCUCACCAGCGUCGCGAGUGUGGAUCGUGUCCGUCGCUUGCGAUCUCUCUUGCUCUGAUUUCGUGGACAGCGAGUACCGCGAUUUACACAGGCUAUCAGCGAAAGUGUGAAGAAGCUACUUCGCUCAUGUGCUGCAAUUGUGGCCGUACAUGGAAGUUUGUUUCGGCGAAACGGUUGUUCAUCAGACCCAGCAUCGCAACUUUCCUGCGGCAAAAUGGACACCUCAGCCUACAUGCAAGACACCAUCGCAGCGUCCUUUCUGCAAAGCUGCAGAGACACACCGUCACCUUGAUGUGCGAUCAACAUUUUCUGUAUUUGCUGGAUCUCCAAACCACGUGCCUCUGUUGAUUAUCUUUGAAGGCAGGCUUCGCCCUGGUUAUUCGGAAUCAGGCGCAACGCCAACUAAAUGAUGGCAUUCGUCUCUAUUGGAGUUUUCAUAAAAAUAAAUAUAGAUGUUAACA